UAGGACUAUAGUUAAUAAUAACAUUUAAUUUGCAAUUAAAAAGUAUUGAUAAAUUCAAUUUGUCUUAA
Molecule: transfer RNA, 68 nt
Filed under: Atrocalopteryx melli
Lineage: Eukaryota; Metazoa; Arthropoda; Insecta; Odonata; Calopterygidae
Description: tRNA-Ala
Rfam family: tRNA
About the family: Transfer RNA (tRNA) molecules are approximately 80 nucleotides in length. Their secondary structure includes four short double-helical elements and three loops (D, anti-codon, and T loops).
Source: RNAcentral